RNAcentral lists this transfer RNA (64 nucleotides) under Cavia porcellus (domestic guinea pig). It matches the Rfam family "tRNA". From Rfam's summary of the family: Transfer RNA (tRNA) molecules are approximately 80 nucleotides in length. Their secondary structure includes four short double-helical elements and three loops (D, anti-codon, and T loops). The record is from Rfam by way of RNAcentral. Lineage: Eukaryota; Metazoa; Chordata; Mammalia; Rodentia; Caviidae.
GGGGAUUUAGCUCAGCGGCAUAAGCACCUGCCUUGCAAGCAGGCAGUCGUGAGUUAAGUCCCUG